UACGAAGGAUCCAAGCGUUAUCCGGAUUUAUUGGGUUUAAAGGGUGCGUAGGCGGCCCGUUAAGUCAGUGGUGAAAGCCUCCAGCUCAACUGGAGAACUGCCAUUGAUACUGACGGGCUUGAGUACAGACGAGGUUGGCGGAAUUGAUUGUGUAGCGGUGAAAUGCAUAGAUACAAUCAAGAACACCGAUUGCGUAGGCAGCUAACUAGGCUGUAACUGACGCUGAGGCACGAAAGCGUGGGGAGCGAACAGG
Molecule: ribosomal RNA, 253 nt
Filed under: uncultured bacterium
Lineage: Bacteria
Description: partial 16S ribosomal RNA
Rfam family: Bacterial small subunit ribosomal RNA
Source: RNAcentral